AAUAGUUUGCCUGAAAAAAAGGAUUAUUUUGAUAGAAUAAAUUAUACAUAAAAUGUAUCUAUUA
This 64-nucleotide transfer RNA is filed under the name Pallenopsis patagonica. Its description in RNAcentral is "tRNA-Ile". Lineage: Eukaryota; Metazoa; Arthropoda; Pycnogonida; Pantopoda; Pallenopsidae. The record is from RNAcentral.